This is a long non-coding RNA of Trematomus bernacchii (emerald rockcod), 422 nucleotides long. RefSeq lists it as uncharacterized. Lineage: Eukaryota; Metazoa; Chordata; Actinopteri; Perciformes; Nototheniidae. The record is from RefSeq and is a predicted model, not a curated record. The transcript has 3 exons.
GCGGACCAAAUGGAGGAGAGAGAUUCAGAAUGUCCUCACCCAAAUCGAGGAGGAAUCCUCCAACCAAGAUCUCUCUGCAAUUCUGGUCAUGAUGGCACAUUUCAAGGAAAAAGAAGAGGCUCUUUUUCUUUUGGCUGAUGACUGCAACCAAGGAUGACAUUGAGGCUCAACUGACCCUACCACACACACCAAGGCUCAUCAUGUUAGGGGACCCUUUUACUUUCACAUAAUUACAGAAGAUUUACUGUUGUGAUUUGAUGUUGUGACCUCACUACUUGUGAUUUUGUAUUUGAAUCUGUCAUAAACUGUCCAAUGUAAUCUGUCAUAAACUGUUGUAUUUAUAUCUGUCAUGAACUGUUAUAUUUAUAUCUGUUAUGAACUGUCCUAUUUUACCAUGUUUUUCAUAUUGAACUUAAUAUUGA